GAUGAACGCUAGCGGGAGGCCUAACACAUGCAAGCCGAGCGGUAUUGUUUCUUCGGAAAUGAGAGAGCGGCGUACGGGUGCGUAACACGUGUGCAACCUGCCUUUAUCUGGGGGAUAGCCUUUCGAAAGGAAGAUUAAUACUCCAUAAUAUAUUGAACGGCAUCGUUUAAUAUUGAAAGCUCCGGCGGAUAGAGAUGGGCACGCGCAAGAUUAGCUAGUUGGUGAGGUAACGGCUCACCAAGGCGAUGAUCUUUAGGGGGCCUGAGAGGGUGAUCCCCCACACUGGUACUGAGACACGGACCAGACUCCUACGGGAGGCAGCAGUGAGGAAUAUUGGUCAAUGGGUGCAAGCCUGAACCAGCCAUCCCGCGUGAAGGACGACUGCCCUAUGGGUUGUAAACUUCUUUUGUAUAGGGAUAAACCUACCCUCGAGAGGGUAGCUGAAGGCACUAUACGAAUAAGCACCGGCUAACUCCGUG
Molecule: ribosomal RNA, 479 nt
Filed under: uncultured bacterium
Lineage: Bacteria
Description: partial 16S ribosomal RNA
Rfam family: Bacterial small subunit ribosomal RNA
Source: RNAcentral